ACCAAUUCUGGAAGAUAAUCUGUUCUACUUGGUUGGCAUAAUGGCACAGAUGCUAGAAUCGGUAUAGUGGCUUCCCCCUUUUUUCUUUGUAUCAUCAGAUCCUGGAAACACCUCAUAAAUCA
Molecule: small nucleolar RNA, 122 nt
Filed under: Genlisea aurea
Lineage: Eukaryota; Viridiplantae; Streptophyta; Magnoliopsida; Lamiales; Lentibulariaceae
Source: RNAcentral